CACGUAGGGCGCAAGCGUUGUCCGGAAUUAUUGGGCGUAAAGAGCUCGUAGGUGGUUUGUUACGUCUGCUGUGAAAACCUAGGGCUUAACCCUGGGCUUGCAGUGGAUACGGGCAGGCUAGAGUUCGGUAGGGGAGAUCGGAAUUCCUGGUGUAGCGGUGAAAUGCGCAGAUAUCAGGAGGAACACCAAUGGCGAAGGCAGCUCGCUGGGACGGUACUGACGCUGAGGCGCGAAAGCGUGGGGAGCAAACAGG
RNAcentral lists this ribosomal RNA (253 nucleotides) under uncultured bacterium. Its description in RNAcentral is "partial 16S ribosomal RNA". It matches the Rfam family "Bacterial small subunit ribosomal RNA", at positions 524 to 776 of the family's 1533-position model. The record is from RNAcentral.